Molecule: ribosomal RNA, 2774 nt
Filed under: Escherichia coli
Lineage: Bacteria; Pseudomonadati; Pseudomonadota; Gammaproteobacteria; Enterobacterales; Enterobacteriaceae
Description: bacterial LSU rRNA
Rfam family: Bacterial large subunit ribosomal RNA
Source: RNAcentral
GGGUUGUGAGGUUAAGCGACUAAGCGUACACGGUGGAUGCCCUGGCAGUCAGAGGCGAUGAAGGACGUGCUAAUCUGCGAUAAGCGUCGGUAAGGUGAUAUGAACCGUUAUAACCGGCGAUUUCCGAAUGGGGAAACCCAGUGUGUUUCGACACACUAUCAUUAACUGAAUCCAUAGGUUAAUGAGGCGAACCGGGGGAACUGAAACAUCUAAGUACCCCGAGGAAAAGAAAUCAACCGAGAUUCCCCCAGUAGCGGCGAGCGAACGGGGAGCAGCCCAGAGCCUGAAUCAGUGUGUGUGUUAGUGGAAGCGUCUGGAAAGGCGCGCGAUACAGGGUGACAGCCCCGUACACAAAAAUGCACAUGCUGUGAGCUCGAUGAGUAGGGCGGGACACGUGGUAUCCUGUCUGAAUAUGGGGGGACCAUCCUCCAAGGCUAAAUACUCCUGACUGACCGAUAGUGAACCAGUACCGUGAGGGAAAGGCGAAAAGAACCCCGGCGAGGGGAGUGAAAAAGAACCUGAAACCGUGUACGUACAAGCAGUGGGAGCACGCUUAGGCGUGUGACUGCGUACCUUUUGUAUAAUGGGUCAGCGACUUAUAUUCUGUAGCAAGGUUAACCGAAUAGGGGAGCCGAAGGGAAACCGAGUCUUAACUGGGCGUUAAGUUGCAGGGUAUAGACCCGAAACCCGGUGAUCUAGCCAUGGGCAGGUUGAAGGUUGGGUAACACUAACUGGAGGACCGAACCGACUAAUGUUGAAAAAUUAGCGGAUGACUUGUGGCUGGGGGUGAAAGGCCAAUCAAACCGGGAGAUAGCUGGUUCUCCCCGAAAGCUAUUUAGGUAGCGCCUCGUGAAUUCAUCUCCGGGGGUAGAGCACUGUUUCGGCAAGGGGGUCAUCCCGACUUACCAACCCGAUGCAAACUGCGAAUACCGGAGAAUGUUAUCACGGGAGACACACGGCGGGUGCUAACGUCCGUCGUGAAGAGGGAAACAACCCAGACCGCCAGCUAAGGUCCCAAAGUCAUGGUUAAGUGGGAAACGAUGUGGGAAGGCCCAGACAGCCAGGAUGUUGGCUUAGAAGCAGCCAUCAUUUAAAGAAAGCGUAAUAGCUCACUGGUCGAGUCGGCCUGCGCGGAAGAUGUAACGGGGCUAAACCAUGCACCGAAGCUGCGGCAGCGACNNNNNNNNNNNNNNNNNNNNNNNNNNNNNNNAUGCUGGAGGUAUCAGAAGUGCGAAUGCUGACAUAAGUAACGAUAAAGCGGGUGAAAAGCCCGCUCGCCGGAAGACCAAGGGUUCCUGUCCAACGUUAAUCGGGGCAGGGUGAGUCGACCCCUAAGGCGAGGCCGAAAGGCGUAGUCGAUGGGAAACAGGUUAAUAUUCCUGUACUUGGUGUUACUGCGAAGGGGGGACGGAGAAGGCUAUGUUGGCCGGGCGACGGUUGUCCCGGUUUAAGCGUGUAGGCUGGUUUUCCAGGCAAAUCCGGAAAAUCAAGGCUGAGGCGUGAUGACGAGGCACUACGGUGCUGAAGCAACAAAUGCCCUGCUUCCAGGAAAAGCCUCUAAGCAUCAGGUAACAUCAAAUCGUACCCCAAACCGACACAGGUGGUCAGGUAGAGAAUACCAAGGCGCUUGAGAGAACUCGGGUGAAGGAACUAGGCAAAAUGGUGCCGUAACUUCGGGAGAAGGCACGCUGAUAUGUAGGUGAAGUCCCUCGCGGAUGGAGCUGAAAUCAGUCGAAGAUACCAGCUGGCUGCAACUGUUUAUUAAAAACACAGCACUGUGCAAACACGAAAGUGGACGUAUACGGUGUGACGCCUGCCCGGUGCCGGAAGGUUAAUUGAUGGGGUUAGCGCAAGCGAAGCUCUUGAUCGAAGCCCCGGUAAACGGCGGCCGUAACUAUAACGGUCCUAAGGUAGCGAAAUUCCUUGUCGGGUAAGUUCCGACCUGCACGAAUGGCGUAAUGAUGGCCAGGCUGUCUCCACCCGAGACUCAGUGAAAUUGAACUCGCUGUGAAGAUGCAGUGUACCCGCGGCAAGACGGAAAGACCCCGUGAACCUUUACUAUAGCUUGACACUGAACAUUGAGCCUUGAUGUGUAGGAUAGGUGGGAGGCUUAGAAGUGUGGACGCCAGUCUGCAUGGAGCCGACCUUGAAAUACCACCCUUUAAUGUUUGAUGUUCUAACGUUGACCCGUAAUCCGGGUUGCGGACAGUGUCUGGUGGGUAGUUUGACUGGGGCGGUCUCCUCCUAAAGAGUAACGGAGGAGCACGAAGGUUGGCUAAUCCUGGUCGGACAUCAGGAGGUUAGUGCAAUGGCAUAAGCCAGCUUGACUGCGAGCGUGACGGCGCGAGCAGGUGCGAAAGCAGGUCAUAGUGAUCCGGUGGUUCUGAAUGGAAGGGCCAUCGCUCAACGGAUAAAAGGUACUCCGGGGAUAACAGGCUGAUACCGCCCAAGAGUUCAUAUCGACGGCGGUGUUUGGCACCUCGAUGUCGGCUCAUCACAUCCUGGGGCUGAAGUAGGUCCCAAGGGUAUGGCUGUUCGCCAUUUAAAGUGGUACGCGAGCUGGGUUUAGAACGUCGUGAGACAGUUCGGUCCCUAUCUGCCGUGGGCGCUGGAGAACUGAGGGGGGCUGCUCCUAGUACGAGAGGACCGGAGUGGACGCAUCACUGGUGUUCGGGUUGUCAUGCCAAUGGCACUGCCCGGUAGCUAAAUGCGGAAGAGAUAAGUGCUGAAAGCAUCUAAGCACGAAACUUGCCCCGAGAUGAGUUCUCCCUGAC